This 276-nucleotide ribosomal RNA is filed under the name Clostridium kluyveri. RNAcentral's name for it is "partial 16S ribosomal RNA". It matches the Rfam family "Bacterial small subunit ribosomal RNA", at positions 679 to 953 of the family's 1533-position model. The record is from RNAcentral. Lineage: Bacteria; Bacillati; Bacillota; Clostridia; Eubacteriales; Clostridiaceae. RNAcentral also lists the same sequence under 1 other name.
CGGUGAAAUGCGUAGAUAUUAGGAAGAACACCAGUGGCGAAGGCGGUUCUCUGGACUGUAACUGACGCUGAGGCACGAAAGCGUGGGUAGCAAACAGGAUUAGAUACCCUGGUAGUCCACGCCGUAAACGAUGAGUACUAGGUGUAGGGGGUAUCGACCCCCCCUGUGCCGCAGUAAACACAAUAAGUACUCCGCCUGGGAAGUACGAUCGCAAGAUUAAAACUCAGAGGAAUUGACGGGGACCCGCACAAGCAGCGGAGCAUGUGGUUUAAUUCG